CCCCUCUCAGGGUUGCACCUGGAGAGUUUCCAGUACUCUACCAGUCUCGGCUACAAGAGGGAGAGUCAAGUAAUGGCCUACCCAUUCCAUUCCUAGUGUGUGCAGUGACUAGUGAGUGGAAGGCAAUCUGCUACAAGU
Molecule: small nucleolar RNA, 138 nt
Organism: Tachyglossus aculeatus (Australian echidna)
Lineage: Eukaryota; Metazoa; Chordata; Mammalia; Monotremata; Tachyglossidae
Source: RefSeq, a predicted model, not a curated record